UAUUUCCAUUACAGAUUUGGAGUUCUAUGGGUAUUUUUGGUUCCAUAUUAGUCUUCAAGUUUCUGAAUUUUGUGGAUUUUUUUCUCUGUAUUUGAAUAGAAUCUAUUGUGGUUUUAGUUGUUUGGCUCAUGAGGAAACGAAGGAAAACAUGAUAUCUGACGUUGAUUAAAGAAAAUGAAAUGGAUUCCUGUCGUGGAGCAUGGUCUCUGUUUCGGAGUCUAGAUAACAGGGACCAUUCUCCAAUUCAAGUAUAUUUUAGCAAAAUAUGGAGCAAAUGAUUUUGGAUGAUUUGGAGGCUAAUCCUAAGAAAUACUGUUGUUUUGGAUAAGAUAUUGAGCGGUUUUGAGUCCGUCAAUGGUUAUCUAGUCUAAUAUUUAGUGGGGCUAGUAUGGUUAUUUCAGUACAAUAUUUAGUGGGUUUGUACUUGUUUGGUUUCCAAGAAAAUGUAAAGGCGA
This is a long non-coding RNA of Juglans regia (Persian walnut), 455 nucleotides long. RefSeq lists it as uncharacterized. The transcript has 3 exons. NCBI's taxonomy places the organism in Eukaryota, Viridiplantae, Streptophyta, Magnoliopsida, Fagales, Juglandaceae. The record is from RefSeq and is a predicted model, not a curated record.